This 258-nucleotide ribosomal RNA is filed under the name uncultured bacterium. Its description in RNAcentral is "partial 16S ribosomal RNA". It matches the Rfam family "Bacterial small subunit ribosomal RNA", at positions 96 to 354 of the family's 1533-position model. The record is from RNAcentral.
UGGCGGACGGGUGAGUAACGCGUGGAAAACCUGCCGUAUACUGGGGGAUAACACUUAGAAAUAGGUGCUAAUACCGGAUAAGCGCACAGCUUCGCAUGAAGCGGUGUGAAAAACUCUGGUGGUAUACGAUGGUUCCGCGUCUGAUUAGCUAGUUGGUGGGGUAAUGGCCUACCAAGGCAACGAUCAGUAGCCGGCCUGAGAGGGUGAACGGCCACAUUGGGACUGAGACACGGCCCAAACUCCUACGGGAGGCAGCAG